This 601-nucleotide ribosomal RNA is filed under the name Microbacterium sp. India-BSP-2. RNAcentral describes it as "bacterial SSU rRNA". It matches the Rfam family "Bacterial small subunit ribosomal RNA", at positions 71 to 684 of the family's 1533-position model. The record is from RNAcentral. Lineage: Bacteria; Bacillati; Actinomycetota; Actinomycetes; Micrococcales; Microbacteriaceae.
AAGCCAAGCUUGCUUGGUGGAUCAGUGGCGAACGGGUGAGUAACACGUGAGCAACCUGCCCUGGACUCUGGGAUAAGCGCUGGAAACGGCGUCUAAUACUGGAUAUGAGCUCUCAUCGCAUGGUGGGGGUUGGAAAGAUUUUUCGGUUUGGGAUGGGCUCGCGGCCUAUCAGCUUGUUGGUGAGGUAAUGGCUCACCAAGGCGUCGACGGGUAGCCGGCCUGAGAGGGUGACCGGCCACACUGGGACUGAGACACGGCCCAGACUCCUACGGGAGGCAGCAGUGGGGAAUAUUGCACAAUGGGCGCAAGCCUGAUGCAGCAACGCCGCGUGAGGGAUGACGGCCUUCGGGUUGUAAACCUCUUUUGGUAGGGAAGAAGCCUUCGGGUGACGGUACCUGCAGAAAAAGCGCCGGCUAACUACGUGCCAGCAGCCGCGGUAAUACGUAGGGCGCAAGCGUUAUCCGGAAUUAUUGGGCGUAAAGAGCUCGUAGGCGGUCUGUCGCGUCUGCUGUGAAAUUCCGAGGCUCAACCUCGGGCUUGCAGUGGGUACGGGCAGACUAGAGUGCGGUAGGGGAGAUUGGAAUUCCUGGUGUAGCGGUGU